CCAAAGGCUCUUUUAAGAGCCACCACCUGCUCAAAAAGGGUGCUGU
Non-coding RNA from Equus caballus (horse), 46 nucleotides. The record is from Rfam. NCBI's taxonomy places the organism in Eukaryota, Metazoa, Chordata, Mammalia, Perissodactyla, Equidae.